ACAGCAGCAACCAUCCAGCAUCUCUGCAUUACGAGAGUGUACUCGUUACCGCGAGUUACAGCUCAAACUUCUCUUUGAAAAUACAACAAAUAAAAACUGUUCGUAUGUCCAGCGAAGUCUAAUCGCCGAUUUAGUUCGAUCGUAGUGCCGGAGUACCCGGAAGAACGGCAGACGUGCUCGUAAUUGGUCUGUUCAAAAAAGUGUGAAGUUCGAAAGCGGGCGAAUAACGAGUUCAUCAAGCACAUGUCGCAACAAUUGGCCAUCGGACCUUUUAGCAUGAAAGUUAGUUAGUGUCUUGCCCCGUGCUUGGUUACCCGUGCGUACAUACAACGAAUCUGGUCGUUUCGUGAACAGUGGUGUUUACACUAUAAAUAACUACUAAAUAAAUAAAUACUAAUAACUACACGAUAAAUAAAUUGAUUAUUGCGUUCUUCGUCGAUCUUUAAUCCGUGUAGCUAACUAUAGUAGCUUACAAUGAAGAUUCUGUUCGCAUUCUUAUUGCUGAUCGUCACCGUGACCGCGGCUCCAUGGAUCGAGAUUCUGUUCGGCGAUCAGUCCGGUUACAAUUAUCGUCCGCCGAAUCAGGGGAAGCAAGA
Non-coding RNA from Megalopta genalis, 596 nucleotides. NCBI's taxonomy places the organism in Eukaryota, Metazoa, Arthropoda, Insecta, Hymenoptera, Halictidae. The record is from RefSeq and is a predicted model, not a curated record.